AUUAUACUCCCAGUUAAUCUGAAAAAGCUGGGUGCCUCUGUAGGCUCGUUUCUGGCAAAAGUUAUAAAAGUCUCUUUAUUAUAAGUACCUGUUCUGUUGCCUACCAUUAUCUGACAAGGUUACCCUCUGUUUUGCCCAUUCUCUUCCAUUAUCGGAGUGUGGAGCCUUGCCUGGGGAUUUUUCUUCCCUAUCUUCACCACUGAGUCAUUUAGCUGGCUUUUGGGAUGGAGCUGUUCCUCUGCUCAAGACAAAUUAAAUUGAGGUAAAAACAGCAAAAUCAGGAGACUGUCUGACAUUUAGGUGGUGACAGUGCUUCAAACGCCUGGCAUGACUACGCAGGGUUAAAAGAGCUUACACUUUAGAAGAGCUUACACCUAUAAACAAUGAAAUUUACAUGCUUCAGAGGCUUUCUAUCUCCUUAUCUUGUCCGCGAGGAAUUAAUAAGCUAGAAGCAUUCAGCUCAGAGUGGUGGCUUCUUUGCGUACCUUUUAUUAAGUAGCUGAGGCGUGAGGAGACUGUAGCUUGAUACAUUUACAUAGACUGCAGCUGACGGACAUGAGGAGUUUUCUUUUGAUGCACUUUCUUUAAUCCCUUGCACACCAAUUCAAUUCCAGCAGGUGAUAAAAUAUCCUUGCCUGGUGUUAUAAAAAUAUUCUGCUCUUAUGUGCUGACUUAUCCACUGAGAUCUCCAAAUAUUUUGUAAACCUUUUGACAGAACGAUUGUGAGGCAAGUUUCUUUAAUCUUAUUUCCUGCUUAAAGUGAGGAAGAAAGGGAUGAAUUAAUUAGACCAAGGUUAGCAUCUAAGUUACAAGGUCUAGAGCUGUAUCUAACACUUUUUUUAGUUAUACUUAGCAGCAACUCUUUCAAAAGGUUUUUCUUUUCUUUCUUUAUCUUAAAAUACAUCAUCACCAACUUGAUUCUAAUGCCCCCCCCCCCCUCUUUUUUUUUUAAAGUAAUAAGGAGAUUUUCAAAAAAUCUCUGUGCUUCACAUUUCUUCAUUUCUUGAUUCUUCUUCAACAGUUUCUCGAUUCCAUUCUUACGUCUUCUGUCUUCUCAUUUUUCUCCAUCUUUUUUCCCUUGGUCCUGAUCUUUGAUGCCUUGUGCCAUCCAGUGUGAAUCCCACUCCUCUGUGGCUUACAGAAAACAAAAGGAGCAGGAUACGUAACUAUAAUGGUUUAAUGCUUGCCCUUUCUUGCUUGUCCUUUGUUUCCUCUGAAGACUUCCUCGUGCGUGUGGAAAAGAGACCGAGGCAGGCUCAAUUUUAUCACAGAAUCAUAGGCACUGGAAGGGACCUCUGAACAUCAUCUGCUAAAUCCAGUGAUUUGUGAUUCCCCCAAGAAGUGUAAAGACCAAAUGGCUCUAUUUACAGGAAAAAAAGCUUGUAAAGAGAAAAACCUCGACCUGAGUCUGCACAGCUGUAUUGUUUUGGGAGGAAAAGGUGGGAGGGGAGGCUGGUCCUGUUGCUGUUUUGUUCAACACAAAGGUUCAAUUUCCUUGACAAAUGAUGGACACUACCUCCAGAAUUGGAACUCUGAUCCCAAAGGGGCCCUGUGUUAUUAUAACAUAAAGAAUGGUUAUUAAACUGUCAGAGGGUUAAUAGUUUCAUCUUAAUAAUCUUGAUAGAUGGUGCACAUUUCACCAGUGCUCCAAAAGCCCACAAUGAGCUUUAAAAUAUUUUACUAUUGGCUUGCCCUUCAUUUCCCAAAGAAGUCUAAGGAGAACGCUUCUUACUAAUAAAUUCUUUAUCAUAACUUAGCUGGUUUUCCCCUUAUAGAAGGGAAGUACAUCUUUGCUGUGCUGCCUGAUUAAUUGGUCUAAUUUUAUCAGGAAAAUUAAAUCCUCUUCUUUAUCUAGGAACUUAUUCAAAGAGAUCUGAGCCUAAAUCCCAGCCCAUGAGCCUGAUGACUAUUCUGCAUAAGCAUCUCUACACUUUAUUAACUUAUUACUUUUAAAGUGAUUUCUGCCUGAAGGAUUCCCUUCAACAUUGAGGGCCAUUUGUCUUCUGUUCUCAGGAUUUCAGGAUGACAAAUGGAAUGUCAGAUAUGACUUACUCUGAGACCUUAAAGGAUUCAUGUGGUAUAGCUCUUAACUGUACCUCAAGGUUCUGUAGGAUGUUACCUCUGAAGCUGGCCAAUUUUGAUGACCAAACAAACAUCUGAUUGCCUUUACAACUGGAGAAGUAGCUGAAGUCUAAAUUGAAGUAGUUCUUAAACUACUGUUGAUCAUUCAGUGAGGAAAGGCUAAUAAAUGUGUACAUAAAUAUGUAUAAGAGUUGAUCCCAGUAGUGGAAAUCAUGGUAAUAAUUAUGUAAUAAUAAGCUAGUAAUAAAGAUUAUGACAAAGGAGUCUCAGCAACUUGAAACAAUACAAGCCAAUGCUUUGCUUCUCCUCACUUUGGCUCGUAUCUUAAAAAGAACAUGUCCCCAAACGUGUAGAGAUAAUGAAGACAAAAAAAGCUCAAUAUUUGUAUAUAACAGUUUGAAAUGCAUGCAUUUAUAAGAGUAAAUGUAUAUUAAAGCAUGGAAAAGUCUCCCCAUCUUUUUCAUGAUUAAGUUGCAUUUGGAUUCAGUGUUCAUACCAUAAAAGUGAUAUUAAACUUGAGGAGAAGGUAUGGGUCUGGCCAUGAUGUUGUCACCUUUAUCUUUAAGUGUACUGAAAUAUCCUAAACCUGACAAAGCACAAAGUCUGGAGAAUUAUCUUAUGGUGAAAGAUGAAACAAAAUAACAUGUCCUCUGUCCUUCACUGUCAACAUGAUGACUUAUAAGCAUUCUUUUUCUCUGCAUUUUCCUCCUAUUAAAAUCAUCCUGUCUGAGCAAAACGGCCUGCGACAGAUGACAAAUAUGGGAUAUUUCAUGGACAAAAAUCACACUCUAAAUUGGAUAUGCUGUGAGAGUAUUGCAACCUGAUAUGCUGAAGCUUAACAGAAAUGCAAAAGACAUUCUUCACUCUGUCAGAUACUGUCUGCCACAUGACUUUCCAUGUAGUUUACUCCAUUAGGCGUAGGAUGAUUUUUCCUUGUUUUGACUCUUCUGGUUGAAAGGUUGGUUACUGUGACUUUAUGUGGAAGAUAACAGCUGCAGAAACUGACCAGUUAAAUAUAUGAUGGCAAAACAGAGGAUACUGUCAUAAACAUAAUACAAUAAGCACGAUAUAAUCUUCAUAGCUUUGUUGUUUCACUUGUUGAGAUUCUGGAGAUCUUCAGUGCAGAAAUUAGCUUCUUGCUUCUACAAAACCCAGGCUGCAAAAUCAUCUUUAUUUAGAAAUUCCAUCCUAUUGUGAAAUACGUUUAUUUAGCAAUGAGAAGGGAAAGUGAAGAGAAAAGGAAGGACCACAUUAAGACUUCAGAGGUAUAAAAAAUAAUCUGUGAGGAGGGAAGUAGUAAUCUAGUUUUUAUACUCCUGGUAGAUAGGACAGGAAGUGCUGAGGUUUAUGCUUUAUCAAAAAAGAUUGGUUUACACACUAGACCUAUCUGUGUGUGUGUGUGUGUGUGUGUGAGAGAGAGAGAGAGAGAGAGAGAGAGAGUGUUUAAUGGUAAGGUUUGUGAAGAAAGUGUUCCUGUGUCAGGAUUGUGGAGGAUGGAGUCAAUAAUUUCUUAAGGGCCCUUCCUGCUGUAUUGUUCUAUGAUCUUGUGCCAUGCAUUUUUCUUCAUGUGAAGUAACAUUUUGUUCAUUCGAUGAAUAGAUAGAAAUUCCUUCCCUGUGAAUCCAUUUCUAGUGUUUUUUAGUACGUUAAUUUGAUAGCCAUCUGCCAUUUUUUUUUAAAUGAGCACUUUGACAAAUCUAUUAUCUCACCUCCUAAAGCAUUAAUUGGAAUCCCUUAGUUCUGAAGCCCUUUCUACGUAGUUGAAGAGUUAUUUAUGGUACCUUUUAGUUGUGAAUAAAUUCCAGGCAUCCAGAGGUGGGGCAUAUUUCUUUGCUAGUGAGUUCUUAUUUUCAUGUGAUAAAGGUCUCCAGUUCUCGAGUUCAUUUUCUCUGAAUGUGACUUUUUUUUUUUUUUGUCCAAGACUAUAUCUGAUGACCAGUGCUGUAUGGAUCACAGCUCCGUUGGUCAGUAGUUUGUGUAAAUUUUCUUUCUUUUGUAUAUGAGGAAAAGGUUUUAUGUGUUAGAGGAAAUAAAUCCUGUUAUGUUGACAUGGUCUCUAUCCUCCAGUGAUUAUCUGCGCUUCAGAGGUUUGAGUAGGCUGUAAAGACUGCCUAACUGCCUUGCUCAAGGUCUUCUCAGAGGAAGGAAACUUCAGGCUUUAGAGUCCAUCCAGCUAUUCCGUGUCACUUGGUCUCAGGACUACUUGGAGCAUUGGUAGUGGGAAGUGCGAAAACAUAAGAAUAAUUUAGAGCAACUUCAAAUGUCUGAAUAGUGGAGAGGGUGCAUAAACCAUAACUUUUCUCCCUCUUGGGACUGACUUCAGCUCAGCUAAACCCAAAGUUUUGGGCUUCCGUGUUUAGGUGCAUUCUGUGUUUACUGUGUUUGAUUGCCAAAGCCCUGAUGAUUAGCAGUGACUGGGAUGUAAAAUCUAAUCCAUGAGGGAUUUCUGAAAACUGAGAUAAUGCACAUUAAGAUGACUGACUAUGGCCUGAUUAGUAACAAUACAGGGAAUACAGGGUCAGAUUGUUUUUCUUGUUGUUGUUGUUUUUUUUUCCCCUGGUUUUUCUUUUUUCUUUUCUUUUUUUUUUUUUUUUUGGUAGUAUGACUAGUAACCUUAGUGCAGGAUCUCAAACACACAAGCACAUUGCAAAAUUCUCCCUUUUAGCUUACUCGAUCAGUUUACAGAAUACCACGCAUGACUGCCUAAGCAUCUUUCUUCAAUACAGAUAGUUUAUGGCCAGUUUCAAUUUAAGAGACAUAUACUGAAUGUGUCAUGCAAACAGUAGUGCAAUUUUGUUAGGAUUUCUGAAAUAAGAGUUUAAAAUAUUCCUAUAUCAUAUGUGUGGUGUUCAGAAUCUACUAAUUGUGUUUUUGUACUUCAGGAUGGCAUAUUAAGAAAUACUAAUUUUUUGGCCUGGAAGAUGUUGAGUACAUAGUCACUGACAAUUGUUAACUAUUGAAAGAGGGGCUUGUUUGAAUAGUACCGCAAUUCUACAAUAAAACAGAAUUUUAGUUAAAAGCCUAUUUUGGAAUAAAUAAAUAGUGCUAAUAUACACAAGAUAAAAGAAGGCAACACAGCAGUCAAAGCAAUCAAAGACAUUAGGAAGUUCAGUAAACUGGAAUGAGAUUCUUUGCUUACUAGGAAAAAAUCAUGAUAUGUCAAUAGGGUUUUACAGGCUAGUAUCUACAAAAAUUUUAAAGAGUAUUAGAAAUAAAAUUAGGAAAAUGAUACAGAACAGUUGUUUUGGGUGGAAAUUUUGCUGUUAGCCAAGGCAAACCCACCACACCUGUUAGUAAGUGGAAGGGAAGAUGUCAAUAACUGAUGCAGGAAUGGCAGAGGUAUUUCAUUAAAAUCUUCUGUGUAGAGAAAGAAAAGAAAUAAUAUGCAUAAUACUUCUUGAAGAUGUGGGCGUACUUUUCAAUCCAAUGGUAAUUUUGAGGAGGUUGUUGAAUGAUGUCUCUUAGAGAUUAACACCCAGACUUGCUGACUUAAGAUGACUUUUAUCAAUGAUAGAAAAGAGUUGCAUGAAAUUGUAUUUUUUUAUUCUCCAUACUUCGUGGAUUUGGGAAGUCUUACAAUUACUGUUUCAAGACAAACUUGGUGGUAUGGACUGUAAAAAUCCUGUUAGCAUAAUGUCUACCUCAGACUCUAUAUUAGGCAAAUGAUGUAGAUUUAAUUUAUAAGGAAUUGAUACAUUUACAUAAAAGUAAAUGCUAGUAGAUAUGAAUUUUGAAGAAUGUCAAAAUAGGUGUUACUGAUUAAGCACUUCAAUAUCUGUGAAGAUAUAAUAGACCUUGUAAUAUUGUGGUUGCCUGAAGAUGUAGCACUCAUUGGAUUUGUCACUGUACCUUUAGCUUAUUGGGAACUUGCCGGGUGUGGAAGCAGUUGUCAAUGGGGAACUUGCUACCCAAAACAAGAGUGGCAGUACUGAUGCCUCUAAUGGACCUUCCUGUGCCAAUGUUAUUCACCAUCUGCAUCUAUCAUCUGGAAAUAAAUGCACCCUAAGACUGAUUACAAACUUGCGGAGUCACUCAAAGGACACCAGAAUGUUUUAAAAAAAUAAUAAUUAAAAAAAAAAAAAAAAAGAGGACGAAUAGCAGUUAUUGAGUUAUUGCAAAUCUAGAUCACAGACAAGCUGGUCACAUUACAAUGAUCAGAAUUUUGAAGAAGCCAAGAAAGGAAAAACAAUUUAGAAGCAGUGAAUGUCAAUGAUCACUCUGAAAUAGUGAACCGUAUCUUCAAAAAGUAAGAAAGGGUUUAGAUGUUUCAUAAGACAAGAAUCUCAAGCCUUCAGUGCAAGACAGCACCCAAAAGGCCUGCUGAGAUCUGUAGCUGUUGAAAAGAGGUACUAAAAACCAGAGGAAAAAAGACAGAAAUUUAUUUCUGCAGGGCAUUGGCAAAAUGUCUGUCGAAGCACUUUGCUUAAUUCUGGUAACUAUCUUAACGAUGAUAAAAAAUUAAGGCCAGUGUAGAAAACAGGCUCCAAAGUCAUCCUAGAAGAUUCUUAGCAAUGAGAAAUACAAGAACAGUUAAAUCUAUGCAGGUAUCAGAAAGAUUACUCUAAGAUGAUUUGAUUGCAAAAUUUAAGUGCCUUCAAGGAGAGAAAAUACUGGGUAUUAACAGGCUCUUCAGCCCAGUGUAGAAGGACAUGGCAAAUCAGUGGCUGUAAGCUGAUGUUGGACAAACUAAUGUAGUAAUGGGACACAGUUUUAACUUUGUAAUCUCUGGUACAAGCUCCCAAGGGAAGUGUUUUUAGGUGCUGUGUUUCAAAUCAAGAUUCAGUGCUGCUCUGGAAAACAUCCUUUAGCUGUACAGAAGUUAUUGGGCUUGUUUCAUGGGUAACUGGGUAAAAUUUAGUGGUGGUGUAGUGUACAGGAGGUCACUCAAAAUGAUUAUAAUGGUCUUGUUUGCCUUUAAGCUCUAUCAAUAAAAGUUUAAGUUAAACUCAAGCUCUCAUCCUUCAUUCUGUAGACUAUGAUAGGUUGUUUGAAUUCCAUUUUAUUCUCUAGUACAAGCCUUGCUUUAUUGCCUCCAAUAUUUAUAUACAAGAAUUGAGGAGAGGUGACACUGCAGUUGCUCAUCCCUGAACCACACUGUGGCUUGUGCCCGUGAUGAGGACAGCCUAAGCUGUGACUGCUUGCUCAAGGACUGGAUUGUCUUUGUUGCUUUCUGAUAACACACAUUGCUGUGGCUUUAAGUGCCACGCAGCCCAGCCCGCUGUGUUUGGGGCGAGUCAGCUCUGCCAGCUUUAAUCACUCACUUUAGCCUUGUGAAGAGGAAGGAGCAGAAAACGCUGCUCAGCAAGGCUGCAAGGCCAUGAAAUUGCGUUAAGCAACAGUCAUGAAAAUGACUGGAUUUGCUAUUUUAGUGUAAGUGUCUAAAUGUUUUUGAAAUUGUAAUUUUCUUGUGCUGUUAUGUGUAAAGGUGACCGCUCUGUGUUGGGCCCCCGGCAGUUGGCUGCAGACAGCUCAUCAGCUUGAUUCAUUUGGCAGGGGGGUCAGUCAGCACCUUCUCUGCAGCUGCAAAGCAGGAUUGAGCUCCUCACUGAUUUGCAAGGAUAUAAUGACAUCUACUAGAAAAUGCAGAACUUUCUGAAGAUGCAUUACGGUUUAAUUUUUGUGGCAGCAAUAUUCCUACCAGGGGCGCAAAGAUUAUAAUCCUUAUUCAACUUGCUAGCAACCACUUCAGGAAUAGAAAGGGCAGUGUCACUUGAGGAAUCUCAAAUUCCUGCUGGGGAAGCAGGCCCGAAUGAAUACAUUUUUGCAAUCAUGUCUCUUUCUAUUUCACUUUCAUCUUGUGUUUAAAAUUGCAGUACUGUAAGAAGUAAGGCUUGCAUUGUUUGGGUACUGCUGAGUUUGGCCACAUGAUGGCACACAUCAGUCAAAUCAACGUUACAGUACCAUCUGGAGAACUGUGACUGGAGAGGAGUUAAAGCUGGUACUCAGGGCUCCAGUGCUCAGGGUUUGUGGUCCCUCACUGCCAGUUUGAUCCACAGUUUACCAUCAUCGGUGAGGGUCAGUGAUCGUGACUCAGCCACAAGCUGGAGGAAAACAAAACAAAACAAAACAAAAGGCUAUCUUUCCAGAAGGACUGCUGGCAAGAGAACUUCUCUUUUUCUGUUCAUGUUGGUUUGGUUUUCUCUUCAAACACCUAGGGAUCAGGAAAACUUUUUUAUUUUUCCAACGUAUAGAUGAGAAAUAAUGUGUUGUAUUUGUUUUGUGAGAUAUAAGGGGAUUUUUUUUUUGUAAAUAAUCUUCCACUAGGUAAUAUUCUCUGCCUCCCUGAUGUUAUUUAUCCCUUGCUGCGGAGGUGGCUGGUGAAAACAUCUAUAGGAUCAGAGUGGUGUUGCAUGUUUUCACUAAGUCGAAUAGCAUGUACUGAUAAUCAGCCUCAAAACAUUGCUAUGAAAUUUAUACUUAUUACGGUGUCAGUGCUGUUACUUCCCAUAUCUUGCAUUUGUUUCUACUGUCUGUCAUUACUAAUAAAACAACUCAACCUUACUGUUAUCAUAGCUCUUAAACCAGCUAAUCUUUAAGGAAAAAAACUGUAUGCUGGGGGGAAGAAUCAUAAUUUGCUCUAAGGAGAAAUCUAAGUUGCAUGGAAUAUGUGGAAGUGUGUUUUGUGUUAAUUCUGAGGGUAGCAGCUGAAGGCCAGUAGACCACAGAGCAAUGCUGCAUAAACAUAUAACAAGAAUUACAGUCUCGGUUCCAAAAUGCUUGGAGUUAAAGACCAAACAUCCCUGGGGAUGUAGGAAAUAAAUGCAGGGUCUGUAGAAAGCUCUGUGGGCUCUCACACUUUGCUGCGCUGCAAAUAAGAGGAUAAUAGCAAUGAGACAAAUGUGAAACGGUAAUUUGGAAAUUUGCAGAGAUGACUGUAAGGAAGCCCUUCAUUUUCCAUUCACAGUUUUUUUUUUUCUGCAGUGUGCUACCUGGCUUGACAAGGAUAAGGACACAUGAAUCUGAAGUAAGACUUGGACUGAGACAUUCAGAAGGUUAGGCUAAUUGCUGGGAACUAGCUACUAGCUACUUUCAUAUUGUUCUCCACCUCCCAUCACCCAGCUUUAAAACUCUGCCCUAAAUGUGUCUCAACAGAAAGAAUGAACCACUUAACUUCCAGUUCACUUCUUGCAAUGGUGACGUAGAGUGACAUCCCAGCCCCACUGCCUGUCUUUUGCAGGCUUGCUAUCUGUGUCGUCAUCCAAAACACACAUAGGUUGUGCAUAGCUAUUGGGAGAAUUAUCUUGGGCCAAUUUGGAGCAAUACUGUGCCUUAAUACAAGUAAUUACAGCGAUUAAUAAUAUCACAAUUUCAUGGACGUUUUUAAGCAUAUCAGCAAAAUGAAAGAAAAACGAACCAAACAAAAAGUUCCUCAUUCCUAAGACAAAAUGCAGUCAGACCCCUGAAGUGAAUAGGAAAAUUCCCAAGCUUCAAAAAAGCAUUUGACAUCUUUGUUAGUAAACAAACACUGCAUUUCUUGUGACACUGAGUUAGGGUACAGCGUGUUCUGUCUCGUUCUCCCUCUCCUUGUGCUUGUUUCUCUUCUCCUCCUGCCCCCAUAGCUGGCAAGCUGAUUCCAGAGGCUGAUGACAGCACCCGUGCCUCUUUCCCCUCGAGUGCACUUGCUCGGCAUCUGAGAGGAUUGCUUUCUUGCCCUUGGGUAGCCAGUCACGCAAUGUGAAAGAUGCAGGAGUUCACGGACUGCUGAGUGCUUAGAUGCUGCACUUUCUUAAGUGAAGGCAACUAGCGAGCAAGUGCAGCAAUUAGAAGUAAAAGAAAACAUUUUUUUUUUUUUUUCAGCGGGGAACAUUUGUUGACCUCACAGCUAUUACUUAAAAUGGGAAGGAAAAAAAGAAAAGAAAAUCUCUCUAUGGAUAGAUCUUUUUUUUAAAGGAGUAUUUAUGCUUUCCUCCAUUAAAUUCAUUGUAUUGUGCAAAGAGAACACCCCCACUUGGAUCUCAUUCUUUUAAAUACAACUUUUCUAACUUUUUUAAAAUAGGGAAGUGUUAUUAGAAAGGAGUUUUGACAAUGACACUGUGAUUUCUAGUGGUAUCUUAAUCUGCAUUUGCCAUGCCUUUCCUUGUGAAGGAUUUUGUAGAUAAUCCAGCAGCUUUUCCAUACUUAUAUUUUUUGCUUGGAAUACAAUCAAAAUAGUUUUCUAAAUGAGAAGUACAGUGUAAGUCACCUGUUCAGAUAACCCAAACUGAUUUGUCAUUUGGAGAAACACAGGCUAAAUGCUUAAACUUGUGAAAACCCCUUGAGAUUUUCACUGAACACAGAUGGUCGAGACCUUCGUUUUGUAUUUUUCCAAUUAAACUGUCUUGGAUCUCUGGCUGCUGCACGGAGGUAUUCCAUUCACCAGUAUUCAAAGAAAAGAUAUGUAUAUUCCUAACGCAGUUCUCUCUGCUAUUGAUUUUGAAAUUCACUGUCAAGAAUGGGAACUAAGUUUCUUUGUAUCAUCGAGUAAUAUCUUCUGAGGUUUGCACUGUGUUACUUGCAUGGCAUAAUGAAUAUAUCAAUAGAGUGAGUGAAACUGAAGCUAGAUCAAGCUAUAUUUUCCUGCUUCAGAAUAUCUGGAAUCUGGAAGUUUCAGAUCUGAUGUUGGUGUAGAAGCCUAAUGUGGUUUGCUGUAUUUGAGUCUGAUGGAAGUCCUGUCACUUGAGAUAGAAGUAUGAUGAUGGAGUAAAGCAGGACUUUCUGAAACAUUAAUCAAGUUCGAAAUGAUACAAGAAUGCAAAAGAAAAGCUUGGCUAUACAUAUUCUUGCAAGAGAGGAGAUGUAAUGCUGAGGUCAGGACAGCCCAGAAGCUUUAGUCUGAGUGUAGAAAGAGUGUCUAAACACCAAAGGAAGUCUUUAGUUUCUAGAAAGCGUUAUUUGAACUUUUUCAGUCUUAAAAUCUAAUUCAGACAUAAAAUGUUACCUCUUGAUGUCCUAUCUGAUGAGGCAAUGCUUCUGUUGCUGUGUUGGGCCUACUGGUUGUUGCUGGAUUGUAAGGCAGGAAAGAGGAACAGCUUGUGAAGAAUCCAAAUCUAGUGCUUGGUGGCUCCAAGUGCCAACAGCCUACAAAAUCUCUCUGAUCACUGUGGCAAGUAUGCCUUUGGAAUGACUGUCAUCUUGUCUCUCCGAAACUGAUGAGGUGGCAUCACAACUUAAGCUAUUUUCAUAUAAGUAGGUCCAGGAGACUAUGGGGAACUCUGUCCCUGGUGUUUCACUCCUGGGUAUUACAAGCACACACCCAACAUCAGCUUGAGAAGGCUCUUGCAGUCAAGUCUCGGGGAGCCUCACAGAUUCAUAUUACUGUACCUUAUGGGCUGCAUCAAGUUGUUGAGCUCCAGUUUGGCUUCAGUUAUUAAGUGAACUUUCCUCAUUUCAAAUUGUUCCCAAGACUCCUUUUCCCUUCAAUAACCUUAAAAAGUGAUCACAUUAUUCUCAAGUUGUUGCUUAUGGGCUCAAAUGGAAUUUAAACUGCCUGUCUGACAAUGAUGAAUGAAUCAGCUCCAAAUCCUUUGAUGUGGAUCAGCUAUGUAGCAUAACAAUAAUAUUGUUGCUUAACAUUUAUACUGAAGUAAUACCAUAAGGAAUCUUAGCCAUUCAGGGGCCUAUUUUGUUAAGUGCUGAGCAAAGCAUGUGGCAAAAUAGCAAGUCUUGUUCUGAAGACAAGACUUGCUAGAAGACAAGAUGUACCAAUUGGAAGAGACCAAGAGAAAGGAGUGGAAAGAUAUAAAUGAUAGUUGCACCUUUGUAGUACCAUACAGACCCUGCGUCCUGCUUGACUUUCUUGCACAGUUUUCUGCCAUGUUGAUUCUGGGUCUUGCUCAACACUUCCAUCAUUACUCAAAUCCAACUGUACUGAAACUGUCCUCUCCCUUGCUCUUGUAAUCGGGCUUAUUUGGAAAGAUUUUUUUUUUCUUUCUUCCCUCGACAACCUUUUUCAACUAACUCAUCCUUGCUGCUGUUCAUGGUCCCUUGUGUCUUACAGGGGAGGGGUUUUAAAUCAGUCAAUUAAUCUGUGGAACCAUUUUCUCUGGAAGACCAGUGCCACCAAUUACAAUAAGAACAGAUUUAAGCUUUUUAUUUCUGUUGAAUGCUUUUGAAUGUCUCAUCCUGGUUAUACAGUGAUACAAAUAUAUCUUUUAAAAACAAAACAAAAACACCACACAAGUGUUAAUAGGAUAUUUUAAGGUGUUUUUUUUUUUAAUCACAUAAACUUUGUACAUAUAUGUCCAUGUGCAUGAAGAUACUAGUAUCUAAAAGAACACUCGGGGUCUCAGGCUGUACUCCUGGAUAUUCUUAUGUUAAGGUUCUGUAUACGGGCAUAAAUGCUUCCCUGUACCCUGAGUAUGUUGUAACACACUUACAUAGUUCUGGGAUAGCAUGUGCUGCAGUGUUUUUGACUCGGGAAUCUUGAGUUCUCUUAGAGAUUUUGGAGCAGAAUGAAGUGUACUCGCAUACACUUUGCUCCUCACUCCAGCAGUGUUUGAUCUGCCUAUCACAACAUCUUCACGCUGUUUAUGUCCCACUCCUGUCUGUCUUGUAAGAUGCAAGGAGAAUGUGUGGUGUCCAGACACUGAAUCAUCUAACAGCCGGAAAUUACAGUAUCUACAGUUUAAAAAAUCCAUCUAUGUAAUUAGUUUCUCUCAAGAGAAUCUAACUGGACUAAAAAAUGCAAACAAUGUGCCUGAAUGGCAAAGCAAUUUCCAAAAUACCUCCUGACCUGGAAACAGAAUAUAUAUAACAGGACUUGGCCUCUGUGUUGCUGCUUACUUGUGAAGCAGUUGGAUAUCAUCUUGUCACAGAAUAUAAAUAUUAUUUUUUUGAAAUGCGUUCUUCUGACCUGAAUGGCUUGUGCUAUAUUAUUUAACAUAAUUUAUUUUACUAUGUGAGUCUGUACUCAGCCAUAAGCACUUGACUACUGUCAAACAGAAACGGGUCCAGGUGCUAACUUUUAAAUGCCCAAGGAAACAGAGUGAGUUAUAUAUAAUUAAAAUGUUUGUGAAUAGUUCCAAAUGGCAAAUGAUUUGUUUUUCUUUUCUGCUUUUCUUUCUGUCUCUCAUGUGAAGAGUAUAGGAAAAGACUGUAUCUUGCCCUGAAAUGACAAGGUAAUUGGUGUUAAUUCAUGAUUACUGUGUCUCGAUUUGGCAUAUCAAAAUUAGAUAGAAUUACUUUAAAGCAGAGUAAGGAAUGCCUUGUCAAAUCCCUCAGACAUGCCUUUUUGGACUGUCUUGCACUCUCCAUAGCUGCAGAGUAGCUAUACAUUUGGCCAUUUUAGCAUUUACCUGCAAUGAGUCUGUUGGAAACCACAUUUAAGUGUGCUUUGCUUAUUGAUAAUUUUAUGGAGGGAGAAUGGUUUCUGGAUUAGCUAGGGAAAGUGGUGUGUUUCUAUCAUGUAAUUACAGGAUUACUGCACAUUCAAUUGGAUUCCUGGGCAAUUCAAACACAAAUUGUUUUUGCAUGUAAAGAAAGCUAUUAUGGGGCUGGAUUACAUUAAAGGGAAAAGAAAAAAGCAGUAGAUAAAACUGAGCAGCAGAACAUGAAGGAAUAGUGAGAAAAAUAAAAAUAUAUAUGCCAGUAAAUUGCGAAAACGGUUGCUGUGAUUACUUGAGAAGUAUGUCAAAACACAUUUUGAAAGAUGACGAUAUGCCACUCUUGUGAAUACUGGAGUAUUGAAAAAGAAUGAAAUAAUGGGAGGAAGGGAUAAAUUCCAAACACAGUUUCAUCUUUUAAAGCAUAUAUUGUGUCCUGUAUGUCCAAGUUCAACACUGUAUUCUGAGAGAUGCCUUUCGGCCACCAUAGAAUUUAGUCAUGAAAACAUACAGUGGUGUUUGACAAAAUGUGCAAGAAGGGGAAAUCUCGUUGCAGUUUAUUGAAGAUCGAUGGUAAUUUAGAUCCAGUUCAGAAAAGGCGCUAUGUUCUUUAAUCAUUUCUUGGCUAGUGUGCUAAUAAAAAUGCAGUGUAUAGUGCUAAUACUGUAUUUCAACCAAUUUAGUAACAAACAAUUGCUUUGUGAGAAACAAAAGGGAUUCAUCCUUAAGAUGGAUAUAUGGUUGCAAUUAUGAUGGUAACGAAUUGGGCCUUAAUUGUAUUUGCUAAGCUGCAGGAAACAUUACAAAAACUUUAGUGUUUUGAGAGGAGAAUGAGGCAUAUAGGAGGCAAAUACUUCUUAACUUAAAGUCAGAUUUAGAUAUGGAGAGUAUUUAUACGUAUUACUGAGCCUAAAUAGUAGGAGAAAGCUCUGAAAAAAGAUACUUGGCAUUGGUGAGAUUGUCUUCUCAACGGAAAUUUGUAAUCAAUGGAAAUUAGGCUCCAUGAUGCCUAAAGUACACCUAAUGAGGCAAAUAUAAACUCCAGAGUAACUAAGGUAGAUUAGACAACGUUGUCUUGGUUUGUGGAAAGAAUCUUUAAGAUCAAUAUUCUUGAAGCAGAAGAAUAAACCUCCACAAUAGGCAAGUAGUGAAGCAAGCAUGGAAGAAGAUAUUCACUGAACAGAAAACUCCUUGCUGAGCUUAAAUACACAAAGUCCACAAAGGUAGAAAUCAAAGAAUCAUAGGACAUUCUGAACUGGAAGGAAUGCAUGGGCUCUCCAACUCUGGGCUCUACGCAAGAACACUGAAAGUUCAAAACUCUUUGUAUGAGAGCAUUGUCCAAACACUUCUUGAACUCUUGCAGGCUUGGGGCCAUGAGCAAAACACAGCCCAUUAGUGGUGCCUCUUGCUUAGGAACUGUGCAGCCAUAGAGGGGGGGCAAUGUCAGGCCCUGGGCAAAAUGGCCACUCUGAACACACCAGUCCAUGAGACAGGAAAGCAGGGUAAAAACUGAUGACUGUGCUGACUACAACACCAACCACUGUUGUCACUGGCUACUGCAGUAGGGAGGCCAUCCCAGGGAGGACAGUGCUUCUCUUCUCAGUGGGCUGCUGCACGGGGUCUUCCCUCUCCUUGCUCUCUGUAUCCUGACCUUCCCUCUGGAAGCAGCAGGUCCUCCUCUGCCACCAGCUGUGAGUUCCAUACAUGCAGCUCUGUGUGAGGCAACCUUUCCAAGUAUCAGCAGAGAUCUCUUCCAGGGCCAGCCUUCUUGUGAGCCCAUCUCAUGACUCCUCAAACUUGUGCAGCACCGGGGUGAGGGUGGCUGACUUCUUUACCAGGUGCUGGAAGAGGUUGAAGGGGGCCAGCUCUUUGGAAGCCGGAAACAAGACCAUUUCCUCAGGCACCCUCUUGUAACCUAAGAUGAAGCAGUUGAGGUGUUUCUUCUCCAGGCAGCAGCAGAGGUUUUGCAGGAGAUAUUCCAGCCACAGGGGCAAUCCCACUUGGGGCUAUGGUCAUCAGGUGGCAAAUCACAACUGUCUUCAAGGCUUGGAGGGAAAAGCCUGUACCCACCAGCAGAUGGGUGCAGGCCUGCAGAUAGGUGAGGUGGAAGCUGUGGUGCCAGGCAUACCUGGCCUUGUGCUUGGUGAACUACAUCUCAACUCCAGUGCAGUUUUUUGGCUGUGCUGUUCUGCUCGAGCAGCUGGCCUCAGCCUACUUGAUGCUCAGAAAAGUGCCUGAGACACUGAGCUCCACCUGAACCCUCAUCUCAAUAGAGAAGGUGCUACUGAAUAUAUUCUUACCUACCAGAAACAAAAGGCAGCUAUGGAAAAAAAGCCUUAGUGAUAAACAACAGCUUGAAAAAAAGUCAUAUUUAAAGGAAAACUGUUUUUUGCUGUUGAUUUAGCUUAUAGACACACACACAAAAAGACUAUUAACAGAGAUUCAGAGCUAUUAACAAUGCUAUCCCUUUUACUUAAGUAACAAAAUACUUAAAAACAUACUUUUCAAGAUAGAAACAUAGAAACGUAACCUGAGCCUAUGCAAUGCACAGGAAAGUGUCAGAGUUGUGAAGCUACGCCCCAAGUAUCAUCUCAAUGAAGGUGUUCAUGGAGGGAGUGGUCAGCUUGAUCUUGCAUGAAUGGCAGGACGGGAGCACCUUCAGGUGGCAGUUGUACGACUGAGGCAGAUGCUUCCAGGCUGAAUUUUGCCUGGUUUUGGAACCAGCACAUGCUUUUCUCCAUGUGCAGAUAAGAGCCUGUGCAGAAGGUGUUGAGGAAGUUGGGCUCCUAUUUUUCACUCAGCUCCUCCUGAAUGUGGUGGAGAAAGCAGUGCAUGUUCCCCAGCAGCUGCUCUCUCACGCAGGUGCGCUCCAGCUCCAUGCGCAGACAGGACUUCCUCGCCAGAAUCUCCUCUUCAUCUCCCAGCUCUACGUGGAAGGUGUGCCUGGGGGGAGGCCUCAGGGGCAUGAGCAGGCAGUAGAGGAUGUUGUCUUGGUGGGCACUCCAUCCUUCGUAGAUGCAGGGCACUCCAAUGGCCGGCUGCAGCCAGGGCAUGAAGCUGUGGCAUGAUUGCCCUCAGCAGGUGUGAAGGUCCUCCACCAGCUGGCACUUGUCAGCCAUGUACGGUGCUGGCCACUGGGUGCUGUUGGUCCAAACUCUACCUAGGUCACGUGUCUCAUUCGAGUUACUGCCUUCUUUGACCUUCACGUCCUCUUCCUCCUCCUCCUUGCUUCUGGAGCUUUCCUGGUUGCUGCUGCUGCAGACCAGAUUACAGUCCAUGUUCCUGAGGCAGAAGCAGAGUCCAAAGAAGACAUCAAGGAUUGCAGCACAGGCCCAAAUCUUGCUGCUCCUCUCUGGCCUACAUCCCCUUUUCUUGUUUCACCAACAGAGGCCAAAGAGCAGGAAAAGGACUCCAGCAAAGGCCCAGAGCUGCCAGUACUGUAGAGCAGCAACGAGCAGGGCUCUCUUGGCUGCCUCGCUCUGCCCGUGGCUCCCCUGCUCCAUGCUGUACAGUGGCUGAGCCAUGUCCAGACUCAGCUGUUCUGCACACAGCCACACACACUCAUACAUAUCACCAUGCAUGAGUUGAAUUCCCAAAGGGAUGAUUCCCAUCAACACCAGAGUGAUGAAGACCACCUGAGCCAUAGCCGCUAGCAGGUGCGUACUGCACUCGUUGAAGGCCUAGGCCAAAGUGCUGCAGUGCUGCCUCUUACAGCCUCCUGACAUGGCCACCAGUGUGAGUUGUCUGCUGCUGUCACAGAUACAGCCAUAUUACUGCACUCCUCUGCCCUGCUCCCUCCUCUCCUUGAUCCAUUCAUGUUAGCAUUUAUCAAAAUAUACAGAUUUUAAGUCACUUUUUAUUACAAUUCCAAUGAUUUGUACUAAGUUUUUAAUAGAAGGCAUCU
Molecule: long non-coding RNA, 17286 nt
Organism: Gallus gallus (chicken)
Lineage: Eukaryota; Metazoa; Chordata; Aves; Galliformes; Phasianidae
Source: Ensembl